GGAGUAAAGCUUGCUGUGAGAAGUCAGCAGAGGCCAUAGUACCGAGAAGUUUUUUUUUUUCGGGAAGGGC
RNAcentral lists this non-coding RNA (70 nucleotides) under Paenibacillus sp. 453mf. Lineage: Bacteria; Bacillati; Bacillota; Bacilli; Caryophanales; Paenibacillaceae. The record is from RNAcentral.